CUUCUUCUUCUUCUUCUUCUUCAGGUUUCUCUAUCACUUCUGGUGUAUCUGCCUCAUUUUUCUUCACUUUGAUAUGAUUGUAGGAGCCUCUCUCUUUAAACAACUGAGCAAAAUGGGGUUUGCAGUAAAGAAUCCCAUCUAGAGCAGCAUAAGAUGAGGGUGUGAGGUAGCAACCCCCAUGAGAGCACCUGAAGCAUGUCUUGUGAUAGGAUUCUCCCACCACACUCACCUGUUACAAAUGGUUUUAUUAAAACGAUAAACAUCUUUAAAUUUCUUAUUGUCUAUUUUUUUGUUUUUUUUUAUCAUAUAUUGCACAAAACUAUUGAGAAAUUAUAUUAAUAUAUGCAACUUCUCUAAUGGGUAUGCUGUUUUUUUGCAGCGUGCACACUUGUCUUGAGUGCCAGAGAACAUGGUGGAAAAUUUGGUAGGAGACUUUGCCUGUCCAAUUUUCUUUUUCCCAGAUGAUGAGUAUUUGUUUGUAUAUUUGCCAGUCUCUUUGAAUAAUCGCUCAAAGUGAGGUUUACAGUACAAGACUUCAUCCAUUGAGGAAUAGCUGCUCAUCUGCAACAAAAUUGUAAACACCAGAAUUUAUCAGAAUGCAUUGAAACUGACAUAAAAAUGAGAUGGAGAAGUCCAUUGCAGUACUUGCACUUGAAGCAUGUCUUAUGAUAAGGAGUGCCACCAGCUGUAACCAUUUCGAUGAAAUGAACAGUCUUAUCGCAAGCCUUGCAUUUAUCUGUCGUUCCACUGAAAACCAUUGUUAUAAUUUUGUGUUUGUAUAGAAGAGUCUAGGAAGAACUAGCUAGAAAAGCUUCUUCUGAAGGGGAAUAUUAUUUUUGUUCCAACAACAAACAGCAGGAGUUCAAGUCUCUAUCUUAGAAAGUUGAGACUUGAGAUAGAUAUGUUCAUUGAACUCUCAGAAAUUUGUUGUUGCCUUUUUUUUU
Molecule: unclassified non-coding RNA, 944 nt
Filed under: Hevea brasiliensis (rubber tree)
Lineage: Eukaryota; Viridiplantae; Streptophyta; Magnoliopsida; Malpighiales; Euphorbiaceae
Source: RNAcentral